GAAAUGCGAUAAGUAAUGUGAAUUGCAGAAUUCAGUGAAUCAUCGAAUCUCUGAACGCACCUUGCGCUCCUUGGUAUUCCUUGGAGCAUGCCUGUUUGAGUAUCAUGAAAUCUUCAAAGUAAAUCUUUUGUUAACUCAAUUGGUUUCUACUUUGGUAUUGGAGGUCUUUGCAGCUUCACACCUGCUCCUCUUUGUUCAUUAGCUGGAUCUCAGUGUUAUGCUUGGUUCCACUCGGCGUGAUAAGUUAUCUAUCGCUGAGGACACUGUAAAAGGUGGCCAAGGUAAAUGCAGAUGAACCGCUUCUAAUAGUCCAUUGACUUGGACAAUACUUUUAUGAUCUGAUCUCAAAUCAGGUAGGACUACCCGCUGAACUUAAGC
This 378-nucleotide unclassified non-coding RNA is filed under the name plant metagenome. RNAcentral describes it as "partial contains 5.8S ribosomal RNA, internal transcribed spacer 2, and large subunit ribosomal RNA". The stretch from base 1 to 105 matches the Rfam family "5.8S ribosomal RNA", at positions 50 to 154 of the family's 154-position model. The record is from RNAcentral.